Molecule: ribosomal RNA, 497 nt
Filed under: uncultured bacterium
Lineage: Bacteria
Description: partial 16S ribosomal RNA
Rfam family: Bacterial small subunit ribosomal RNA
Source: RNAcentral
GAUGAACGCUGGCGGCGUGCCUAAUACAUGCAAGUCGAGCGAACAGACGAGGAGCUUGCUCCUUUGACGUUAGCGGCGGACGGGUGAGUAACACGUGGAUAACCUACCUAUAAGACUGGGAUAACUUCGGGAAACCGGAGCUAAUACCGGAUAACAUGUUGAACCGCAUGGUUCAACAGUGAAAGACGGUCUUGCUGUCACUUAUAGAUGGAUCCGCGCCGCAUUAGCUAGUUGGUAAGGUAACGGCUUACCAAGGCAACGAUGCGUAGCCGACCUGAGAGGGUGAUCGGCCACACUGGAACUGAGACACGGUCCAGACUCCUACGGGAGGCAGCAGUAGGGAAUCUUCCGCAAUGGGCGAAAGCCUGACGGAGCAAAGCCGCGUGAGUGAAGAAGGUCUUAGGAUCGUAAAAAUCUGUUAUUAGGGAAGAACAAAUGUGUAAGUAACUAUGCACGUCUUGACGGUACCUAAUCAGAAAGCCACGGCUAACUACGUG